UACAGAGGGUGCAAGCGUUAAUCGGAAUCACUGGGCUUAAAGCGUUCGUAGGCGGGCUUGCAGGCGCGUUGUGAAAGCCCCCGGCUCAACCGGGGGACUGCUUCGCGAACCGCAAGUCUUGAGUCAAGUAGGGGCGGUCGGAACGAUAGGUGGAGCGGUGAAAUGCGUAGAUAUCUAUCGGAACGCCAAAGGUGAAGACAGGCCGCUGGGCUUGUACUGACGCUGAGGAACGAAAGCGUGGGGAGCAAACGGG
Molecule: ribosomal RNA, 253 nt
Filed under: uncultured bacterium
Lineage: Bacteria
Description: partial 16S ribosomal RNA
Rfam family: Bacterial small subunit ribosomal RNA
Source: RNAcentral